Molecule: ribosomal RNA, 425 nt
Filed under: uncultured Eubacterium sp.
Lineage: Bacteria; Bacillati; Bacillota; Clostridia; Eubacteriales; Eubacteriaceae
Description: bacterial SSU rRNA
Rfam family: Bacterial small subunit ribosomal RNA
Source: RNAcentral
UGGGGAAUAUUGCACAAUGGGCGAAAGCCUGAUGCAGCAACGCCGCGUGAGGGAAGACGGUCUUCGGAUUGUAAACCUUUGUCCUUGGUGACGAAAAGAAUGACGGUAGCCGAGGAGGAAGCCACGGCUAACUACGUGCCAGCAGCCGCGGUAAUACGUAGGUGGCAAGCGUUGUCCGGAAUUACUGGGUGUAAAGGGAGCGCAGGCGGGGGAGCAAGUCAGCUGUGAAAUAUACGGGCUUAACUCGUAGACUGCAGUUGAAACUGUUCUUCUUGAGUGAAGUAGAGGUAGGCGGAAUUCCGAGUGUAGCGGUGAAAUGCGUAGAGAUUCGGAGGAACACCAGUGGCGAAGGCGGCCUACUGGGCUUUAACUGACGCUGAGGCUCGAAAGUGUGGGGAGCAAACAGGAUUAGAUACCCUGGUAGU